AACCUGCGAAAGGAUCAUUA
Molecule: ribosomal RNA, 20 nt
Filed under: Elsinoe banksiae
Lineage: Eukaryota; Fungi; Ascomycota; Dothideomycetes; Myriangiales; Elsinoaceae
Description: partial 18S ribosomal RNA
Source: RNAcentral